This 2702-nucleotide long non-coding RNA is filed under the name Homo sapiens (human). RNAcentral's name for it is "HSALNT0335352". The record is from RNAcentral. Lineage: Eukaryota; Metazoa; Chordata; Mammalia; Primates; Hominidae.
AUAAUAUAGUGAUCCAUCUCUUAAAUUUUUUUUUUUUAAACUUAGCCUGGUGUAACAGUGCACACCUCUAGAAUCAGCUUCUCAGGAGGUUAAGGUGGGAGGAUCACUUGAGCCCAGGAAUUCAAAACUGCAGUGAGCUAUGAUCACGCCACUGCACUCCAGCCUAGGUGACAGAGCAGGACCCCAUCUCUUUUUAAAAAAGAAAAAAAAUAUGAACUGUUGAUACAAUUACUUGGAUGAAUCCCGAGGGAAUUAUGACUUGUCAGCUUGUGGGAAAGUGACAUCAGCGUCCACCCGCUAACCCUGCCCUCUGCAACCUGCUUGGAGCUGCUGUUGAUAUUGUCAAAGAGUAAUGCCAAUCUGCCUUCAUCCCUUCGCCGUGUGAAUUCCUUUCAGGUGGCCUUUUUGAAGAUGUAACUAUUAGAGCUGGGCAUUCUCCUCCCCCGGCAGACAGCUCUCAAGCAGGAGCACACCGAGGCCAGCAGUCAGCUCAGGAGGCAUCAAUUACAAAGACAAGAACCAGAGCUAUGGGAUAAGAGCAUUGCAUUGAAGUUUUAAGUUUACUUGUUUGCAUGUAUUCUCUAAGAGAAGAGUUAACUUUAGAUCUUUGAAAACCCAGGACUGUGAAGAAAGUCAUAGUAGCAGGUUGAGGCAAGUGUAGAAGUUACAUCUCUAUUUCCCACAGAGAGGAAUAUUCACAUAUGUGCAGUGUCAGCACCACCUGGAAGGUUAUUACCUAAUGGAGAUCCAUCUGUCCUGUGUGGAAUCCAGUGAGGAAUUUUAUUGGUGGAACUGAAUGUUAACUGCUGUAAAUCCUAGGAAAUAAACUUUUAAAGAGUUUCUCAGGAUGAUUUAAAACAAAUUUUAAAAAAGAAAAGUAGAAAACAUUUUAUACUUUAUUCAGAGGAGAUGCUCAAUAGAUGUUUGUUGAAUGAAUGAUUAUCAAAUUAAAGGAUUUCCUAUUUAUGCAAAUCUGCAUGUUUCUUUUGUUAUUUCCUUUACCAUACAUUAUUGCAAAUUAAUAAAUAUACCUCACUAGCAUCCCGUUACAGAGUUGUUCUAUUCUUUGUGUACCAGCACAAGCGGUGAGGAAACCUUUCAGUGAGAAGGAUAGAGCUACAGGGAAUCCCACAGAGUACACGCUAGCUCCUAAUUUCACAAGGAACGUUUGAGACUUGCCUAGAAUCACACAGCUAGGAUCAAAGCUGGGACUGGAGCCAGGCAUGUCCAUCUCCUCUGCCCAAGAUCUGAUCCAUCUCUCUCUGACAUCCUCCUUUCCUACUCCAGGAUCAGGAGGACAGUCUGUGGAUUUGCAAAUAUCCUUGCUGCUCAAUUGGCAUUAAUCUCCACAGACCACCUGAUAUAUCUUGCCUCAAAAACCCUGAGUUUUCUAUCCGCAAAUUUUCUAACACUUUUUUUUUUUUGAGAUGGAAUUUAGCUCUCGUUGCCCAGCUGGAGAUCUCGGCUCACUGCAGGCUCCGCCUCUGGGGUUCAAGCGAUUUGCCUGCCGCAGGCUCCCAAGUAGUUGGGAUUACAGGCACCCACCAUCACACCUGGCUAAUUUUUUGUAUUUUUAGUAGAGACAGGGUUUUGCCAUAUUGGCCAGGCUGGUCUCGAACUCCUGAUCUCAGGUGAUCCACCCACCUCAGCCUUCUAAAGUGCUGGGAUUACAGGUGUGAGUCACCACGCCUGGCCUCUAACAUUCUUAACACAGGUGUCACUUGGCAUUUUAUGAUUGGGUGUACUUUUCAUGAUUUCUUCUUCCUGGUAGUGCAACCAAAACAUUUGUCUUACUAGCAAAGCAGUGGUAUGGCACUCCUAAUUCUGUAACUUGUAGACUGACAUAGGAAUAAUACCCAACUGUUGAUCCUGCAGAGUCAUUUUAUGAAGCACAGUUUGAAACGUUGAAGUUCUUAGUGAUACAUCCAAGACUCACAGCCACAGAAGAGAAUUAGUUUGGCUUCACUUAAGCUACUAGACUCCCAAACAUCAUGCUGACUUUCCAUGCUUUAGAUUCCUAUCUGUCAGUAUACAGCAGGGUUCCUCAGCUUCAAUACUGUUUAUAUCUUGGUCUGGAUAAUUCUUUUUGUGGGAGACUGCUCUCUGCAUUGAAGGAUGUUUAGCAACAUCCCUGACCUCUACCCACUAGAUUCCAUUAGCACAGCCCCCUCCUCCACUCCAGUUGUGUUGACCAAAAAUAUCUGUAGAUAUUGUUGUGAUUGACAAAAUUAAUUCCAGCUGAGAACCACUGCUAUGGAAGAUAUGGCCUGAGAAACAAGAUUUGGUGACUGUCUAUGGAGUUGUGUAUUGCCCAUGACAGAUUAUUACAAAAUCUGAAUCUUUUUCUGGCAUGUAGCCUAAGCUUAGUAUGCUAUUUUUUUUUCACAAAUGAAUACAUUAGUGGUGAAUGCCUUUAUGUGUGACUGUUUCUUAGAGUUCAGUUUGUAUCGGUCUAAUGUUGGAAAUUGGAAUAAAUUAGAUGAAGCAGAGUUCAGCCUGUGCAUAAAAAAGAAUUUUCUUCUGAGAUAGUUUUUCUCCCUCUGGAAAAAAGCAAUGGCCAUACUACCAUACUAAUGUAUGUUUAUGAUUUAGAUCCUAAAGGUGCUUGUGAUUGCACAGAUAACUCUGUACUGCUCAAAAAAACCCAACUAGAAGAAUAUUCUAAUUUUCUAACCUUGCCUCCCUAAUAAAAUCGAGUUGAG